AACGAACGCUGGCGGCAUGCUUAACACAUGCAAGUCGAACGGGACCGCCGGGUCUAUGGGCGCAGCGGUGGGUGACGCGGGGGGACCUACACGUGAGUUCGGCAUAACUCACCGAAGGAGGUGCUAAUACCGGAGAAUGUCUUCCGACCAAAGAUUUAUUGCGGUUGGAUGGGCGUGAGUUGGUUUAGGUGGUUGGUAGGGUAAAAGCCUACGAAGGGGACGAUCGAUAGCUGGUGAGAGAGAAUGGUCAGACACACUGGGAGUGAGACACGGCCCAGACUCGUGCGGGAGGCGGGAGUGGGGAAUAUUGGAGAAUGGGCGAAAGCCUGAUCCAGCACGGCUGCGUGAGUGAUGAAGGCCGGAGGGAAGUAACGCUCUUUUAUCCGGGAGGAUAAUGACAGUACCGGGAGAAUAAGCACCGGCUAACUCCGUG
Molecule: ribosomal RNA, 433 nt
Filed under: uncultured bacterium
Lineage: Bacteria
Description: partial 16S ribosomal RNA
Rfam family: Bacterial small subunit ribosomal RNA
Source: RNAcentral